Molecule: ribosomal RNA, 31 nt
Filed under: Russula dissimulans
Lineage: Eukaryota; Fungi; Basidiomycota; Agaricomycetes; Russulales; Russulaceae
Description: partial 28S ribosomal RNA
Source: RNAcentral
GAGACAUCGUUCGAGCUUGCUCGGCACACGA